UACAGAGGGGGCAAGCGUUGUUCGGAAUUACUGGGCGUAAAGGGCGCGUAGGCGGCACUGUUAGUCAGGCGUGAAAGUCCUGGGCUCAACCUGGGAACUGCGCUUGAUACGGCAGAGCUAGAGGAUGGAAGAGGGUCGCGGAAUUCCCAGUGUAGAGGUGAAAUUCGUAGAUAUUGGGAAGGAACACCGGGUGGCGAAGGCGGCGACCUGGUCCAUUACUGACGCUGAGGCGCGACAGCGUGGGGGAGCAAACAGG
Molecule: ribosomal RNA, 256 nt
Filed under: uncultured bacterium
Lineage: Bacteria
Description: partial 16S ribosomal RNA
Rfam family: Bacterial small subunit ribosomal RNA
Source: RNAcentral